Molecule: small RNA, 365 nt
Filed under: Histoplasma capsulatum var. duboisii H88
Lineage: Eukaryota; Fungi; Ascomycota; Eurotiomycetes; Onygenales; Ajellomycetaceae
Description: Histoplasma capsulatum H88 hypothetical RNA
Source: RNAcentral
AGUCCCUUACACGGGGCAAGGCCACGACGGCUGGUUGGUAGGCCAAGGGGGCAAUGGGCCGAGAUCGGCAACUGGAAGCUCUAGGUGGUGAUGCCUAGGGUGGGCGGUGGCGCUUAACUAGGACCCCCAGCUGGAAGCCCCAGAACUAGUUAAAGCGGCCCGAGAGGACGGACGCGGUGGUCGGUUGGUUAUAGGGGUAUAUGUAACUAGUGUUAUGAACCUGCGGCGUAACCUAAGCGGAUCAUUGGUUAAGAAAGGGUUGUCGGGAGGAACCAGGAAACAACCCUGGAACAGGAACAACCUAGGAUCCAGGUCACGUGAUAAGAGGAUCACUUGGAUAGAUAGGAUAGACAGAGUGAGCGAGG